GACGAACGCUGGCGGCGUGCUUAACACAUGCAAGUCGAACGGAAAGGCCCUGCUUUUGUGGGGUGCUCGAGUGGCGAACGGGUGAGUAACACGUGAGUAACCUGCCCUUGACUUUGGGAUAACUUCAGGAAACUGGGGCUAAUACCGGAUAGGAGCUCCUGUUGCAUGGUGGGGGUUGGAAAGUUUCGGCGGUUGGGGAUGGACUCGCGGCUUAUCAGCUUGUUGGUGGGGUAGUGGCUUACCAAGGCUUUGACGGGUAGCCGGCCUGAGAGGGUGACCGGCCACAUUGGGACUGAGAUACGGCCCAGACUCCUACGGGAGGCAGCAGUGGGGAAUAUUGCACAAUGGGCGGAAGCCUGAUGCAGCAACGCCGCGUGCGGGAUGACGGCCUUCGGGUUGUAAACCGCUUUCGCCUGUGACGAAGCGUGAGUGACGGUAAUGGGUAAAGAAGCACCGGCUAACUACGUGCCAGCAGCCGCGGUGAUACGUAGGGUGCGAGCGUUGUCCGGAUUUAUUGGGCGUAAAGGGCUCGUAGGUGGUUGAUCGCGUCGGAAGUGUAAUCUUGGGGCUUAACCCUGAGCGUGCUUUCGAUACGGGUUGACUUGAGGAAGGUAGGGGAGAAUGGAAUUCCUGGUGGAGCGGUGGAAUGCGCAGAUAUCAGGAGGAACACCAGUGGCGAAGGCGGUUCUCUGGGCCUUUCCUGACGCUGAGGAGCGAAAGCGUGGGGAGCGAACAGGCUUAGAUACCCUGGUAGUCCACGCUGUAAACGGUGGGUACUAGGUGUGGGGUCCAUUCCACGGGUUCCGUGCCGUAGCUAACGCUUUAAGUACCCCGCCUGGGGAGUACGGCCGCAAGGCUAAAACUCAAAGGAAUUGACGGGGCCCCGCACAAGCGGCGGAGCAUGCGGAUUAAUUCGAUGCAACGCGUAGAACCUUACCUGGGUUUGACAUGGAUCGGAAGCGCGCAGAGAUGGGUGUGCCUCUUUUGGGGUCGGUUCACAGGUGGUGCAUGGCUGUCGUCAGCUCGUGUCGUGAGAUGUUGGGUUAAGUCCCGCAACGAGCGCAACCCUUGUUCACUGUUGCCAGCACGUUAUGGUGGGGACUCAGUGGAGACCGCCGGGGUCAACUCGGAGGAAGGUGGGGAUGACGUCAAGUCAUCAUGCCCCUUAUGUCCAGGGCUUCACGCAUGCUACAAUGGCUGGUACAGAGAGUGGCGAGCCUGUGAGGGUGAGCGAAUCUCGGAAAGCCGGUCUCAGUUCGGAUUGGGGUCUGCAACUCGACCUCAUGAAGUCGGAGUCGCUAGUAAUCGCAGAUCAGCAACGCUGCGGUGAAUACGUUCCCGGG
This 1343-nucleotide ribosomal RNA is filed under the name uncultured bacterium. Its description in RNAcentral is "16S ribosomal RNA". It matches the Rfam family "Bacterial small subunit ribosomal RNA", at positions 28 to 1378 of the family's 1533-position model. The record is from RNAcentral.